RNAcentral lists this ribosomal RNA (252 nucleotides) under uncultured bacterium. RNAcentral's name for it is "partial 16S ribosomal RNA". It matches the Rfam family "Bacterial small subunit ribosomal RNA", at positions 524 to 776 of the family's 1533-position model. The record is from RNAcentral.
UACGUAGGGGGCAAGCGUUGUCCGGAAUUAUUGGGCGUAAAGCGCGCGCAGGCGGCCGUUUAAGUUUGGUGUUUAAGCCCGGGGCUCAACCCCGGAUCGCACUGAAAACUGGAUGGCUUGAGUGCAGGAGAGGAAAGUGGAAUUCCACGUGUAGCGGUGAAAUGCGUAGAGAUGUGGAGGAACACCAGUGGCGAAGGCGACUUUCUGGCCUGUAACUGACGCUGAGGCGCGAAAGCGUGGGGAGCAAACAGG